RNAcentral lists this long non-coding RNA (801 nucleotides) under Setaria viridis. Its description in RNAcentral is "long non-coding RNA (SVIR_LNC001959)". Lineage: Eukaryota; Viridiplantae; Streptophyta; Magnoliopsida; Poales; Poaceae. The record is from RNAcentral.
GUGAGAGGAGAUUACUUACAGGAGGCAAAGAAAGGGGACAGAGAGAGAAUUUUUGGGGGUGGGGUGGGCGGGGAGGGGGGAACAUGUUACGUAAUGUUGCUAAUCCAUUGUAAAACUAGUGGUCGAUGGUCCUCUGUAACCAUAUUAAGCUGGAGGAUGACUUACUCUUUGAAUCUCACGACCCAAAUACCCGUAGAAGCUCUUGCAUGCUCGAAGAUCAUAUCACAGCGUUCCUCAUUUUCCAAAUCUCCCAAGAUGCGAUGAGAAAUAUUUCGAUAAACAACAACGGCUGUGAUCUGCUUUUAGUUACCAUGAUACGCUCGUGGAUGUCUGAAUGACUGACCAUGAAGUUCAGUUUGCUCCGACAGCUACAAAACGACUAGAAUUCCUUAGUCGUUUUGGUGGCAUGGUGGUUUUUGGAAACACAGGAAUGGACGUGCGUUCGAAGGUUCUUCUCCAAACACCCGUUCUACCUUACAUAACAUACAUGACGCAACCAAAUUGUGGCGCAUGGCUGGCACUAAGGUAGUUUUUGGUUCGCCGUUUUGUAACGUAUUCUGAUUACAGAGGAAAAGAGAUAGUACUGUUACUUGUGUUUGGUUGGAUGUGUCCUGGGUUAGCGUGUAAUGCGUUGGCUAGUUCAAUCUCGCCAUGGUACCAGUAGUGGUCGUUUACUCUCAGCUGUUGGCGAGGUUAGUGUGCUCGUGACCUUUCUGGGAACGAUGUGUGAGUUUUUGCUGUCUUUCAGUGUGUGUUUUUUUUCUUUUUGAUUUUUUUCAUUGUACUUGUCCUCAAACAGCU